ACCCAGGAGGCAGAGGCUGCAGUGAGCCGAGAUCGCGCCACUGCACUCCAGCCUGGGUGACAAGAGUGAGACUUCGUCUAAGAAAAAGAAAAAGAUUUACGUCCAGAUCUCUCAGAUCUGCUGCCUGGCCCUUGACUACCGUGGCAUUCAGCUCCCCCGACAGCUUCCUUUCUCCAAGGAGGGAGCUGGACUCAUGGAGUCAGCCUGGGCAAGAGCAAACUCCUUGGGCCACUGCAGCAACUGCGCUCACUCUUUCGAGUUCCCGCCUUUUCCCUUGAAAUUCCCAUUUAUUGGGGGAUUAGACAUAAAUAUUUGUAAUUUAUAGUGCAAAUAGUCUUUACUUUGCUUCCUACAAAAUACUUAAAUCAAAAUGAGAUUGUCAGGCAGUGCACAAAACAGGUGUGGUCAACCACCUUUCUAAUGUUUGGAUAAUGUUAAAGAGGUCUGCGAAUUCAGGAAAUGAUCUCGUGGUUACCAGGCAGCCAGCGUACCCCUCCUGAUGGAUUGUGGGUCGGGAAGAGCACAAGUGUUUUGUAACUAUGGAAACAAACUGAGUUUGUCAAGCCAGAAAGCAACCCUCCAGCAUCCAGAUUACCCUUCGAAGACGGCAAAGAAAAAGAGAGCUCUGAAAUCACUCAACGCAUAGGAGCUGGUUCUAUAAUUUUUAGACUUUAAUUAAAUCAAUUAUUAAAGCCUUUCUUAAUGCCUUGCUGAGAUAUUCAGGCUCGGGCUGCCUCAGGAGAGAGGAAGUGGUUGAAUGCACAGAGGUGGCUAAUAAGAGGGGACACAACAUUCCAGAAUCCCACAGGAAAGAUUCUACCAUCUCCACAGCUGCCCUCGCCGCAGUCCUCCCUACUGUUGGAGAAGAUGCCCCCAAUAACUGGGGUGUCUCGAGCUAGUGGACACAUCAUGGAGCUGGGAGGUAGAACACUGGAUGAGCCACAGAAAGCACACAGGACUUUGCUGUGGAAGAGUCAAAGAUCCACGUGGGAGCAUCCCGUAGGGGACUUGCGUUUCAGAUCAGAUGAUGCUUUUCAUGUAUGUCCAGCAGCAAGAGAGUCCUUCACUGGUGAAAAAUCACGGGCCUCAGAGCAGAUUUUAGUUCAUCUUUCAUUUCAAAGCACUCCUUAGAUAUCUGCAAAUUAAAUCCCCUAAUUUGGUGAGGACGCCCAGCUUCCCAAAUAACAAGGCUUUU
This 1195-nucleotide long non-coding RNA is filed under the name Homo sapiens (human). Its description in RNAcentral is "HSALNT0253408". Lineage: Eukaryota; Metazoa; Chordata; Mammalia; Primates; Hominidae. The record is from RNAcentral.